RNAcentral lists this ribosomal RNA (324 nucleotides) under uncultured bacterium. RNAcentral's name for it is "bacterial SSU rRNA". It matches the Rfam family "Bacterial small subunit ribosomal RNA", at positions 28 to 334 of the family's 1533-position model. The record is from RNAcentral.
GAUGAACGCUGGCGGCGUGCUUAACACAUGCAAGUCGAACGAAGCGCUUAAACGGAUUUCUUCGGAAUGAAGUUUUUGCGACUGAGUGGCGGACGGGUGAGUAACGCGUGGGUAACCCGCCUCAUACAGGGGGAUAACAGUUAGAAAUGACUGCUAAUACCGCAUAAGCGCACAGUGCUGCAUGGCACAGUGCGAAAAACUCCGGUGGUAUGAGAUGGACCCGCGUCUGAUUAGCUAGUUGGUGGGGUAACGGCUCACCAAGGCGACGAUCAGUAGCCGGACUGAGAGGUUGGCCGGCCACAUGGGGACUGAGACACGGCCCAG